Molecule: ribosomal RNA, 200 nt
Filed under: uncultured bacterium
Lineage: Bacteria
Description: partial 16S ribosomal RNA
Rfam family: Bacterial small subunit ribosomal RNA
Source: RNAcentral
UACGGAGGGUGCAAGCGUUAAUCGGAAUUACUGGGCGUAAAGCGCGCGUAGGCGGUUUGUUAAGUCAGCUGUGAAAGCCCCGGGCUCAACCUGGGAAUUGCAGUUGAUACUGGCCGACUAGAGUACGAGAGAGGGAGGUAGAAUUCCAUGUGUAGCGGUGAAAUGCGUAGAUAUGUGGAGGAAUACCGGUGGCGAAGGCG